CUCCACAUUUGUACCACCCUGAAUGUGCCUGAUUUCAUCUGAUCUUGGAAGCUAAGCAGGGUCGGGCCUGGUUAGUACUUGGAUGGGAGAUCACCUGAGAAUACUUGGUGCUGUAGGCU
This 119-nucleotide ribosomal RNA is filed under the name Saimiri boliviensis boliviensis (Bolivian squirrel monkey). Lineage: Eukaryota; Metazoa; Chordata; Mammalia; Primates; Cebidae. The record is from RNAcentral.